AGCUCAGUUGGUAGAGCAUCUGACUUUUAAUCAGAGGGUCAGAGGUUCGAAUCCUCUAUG
RNAcentral lists this transfer RNA (60 nucleotides) under Candidatus Salinicoccus stercoripullorum. It matches the Rfam family "tRNA", at positions 9 to 63 of the family's 71-position model. From Rfam's summary of the family: Transfer RNA (tRNA) molecules are approximately 80 nucleotides in length. The record is from RNAcentral. Lineage: Bacteria; Bacillati; Bacillota; Bacilli; Caryophanales; Staphylococcaceae.